UCUCUCUCUCUCUCUCUCUCUCUCUCUCUCUAAUUUCUUAUUUUCUUUAGUAUCAAGAAAACGUGUAUUACGGGCAUUACCUUCUUCAACUAUCAACCUUACAAAAAGAUAACUGAAAGGAAGUUUUUAACACGGGUUUGGAUCAAGUCAUGGUUUUAAAUUGCAGUGCGUAACACCGAUCCGCAAACUACGGAUUCUGAUUUUAAUGACAAUUGUUAUAUAUGUUUUGCCUUUUUAUUUUGGAUAUCUCAUCAGCGAAAUCGCAACUGCAAUUUAAGAUCAUGGAUCUCUGAGAUAGGAGACAUGCCUGUACUGGGAAUUAUUAAUGGGAUAUUUUUUUUUUCUUUCUGGAUGGAGAUGGUUGAAGGUGAUCAUGAUGUAGAUGCAUAUAUAUGUACAUAUGGUUAUGGAGUUCAAUUAUCUGGUUUCUUCUACAUUUGUUUUUGCCAUUCUUCCAUUACUGUGGUCCAAUCCCAAUGUUUUAGUAGUUGG
Molecule: long non-coding RNA, 492 nt
Filed under: Arachis ipaensis
Lineage: Eukaryota; Viridiplantae; Streptophyta; Magnoliopsida; Fabales; Fabaceae
Description: long non-coding RNA (AIPA_LNC002438)
Source: RNAcentral